RNAcentral lists this ribosomal RNA (307 nucleotides) under uncultured eukaryote. RNAcentral's name for it is "partial 18S ribosomal RNA". It matches the Rfam family "Eukaryotic small subunit ribosomal RNA", at positions 1470 to 1796 of the family's 1831-position model. The record is from RNAcentral.
CCCUUAGACGUUCUGGGCCGCACGCGCGCUACACUGACGAAGGCAACGAGCUUUCCUUUACCGAAAGGUACGGGUAAUCUUUUGAAACUUCGUCGUGCUGGGGAUAGAUCCUUGCAAUUUUUGAUCUUAAACGAGGAAUGCCUAGUAAGCGCAAGUCAUCAACUUGCGUUGAUUACGUCCCUACCCUUUGUACACACCGCCCGUCGCUACUACCGAUUGAAUGGUUUAGUGAGGCCUUCGGAUCCGCGACUCGUUUGUGGAGAAGUUGGACAAACUCAGUCAUUUAGAGGAAGUAAAAGUCGUAACA